UGGGGAAUUUUGGACAAUGGGCGCAAGCCUGAUCCAGCAAUGCCGCGUGCAGGAUGAAGGCCUUCGGGUUGUAAACUGCUUUUGUACGGAACGAAACGGCUCCUAAUAAUACUGGGGGCUAAUGACGGUACCGUAAGAAUAAGCACCGGCUAACUACGUGCCAGCAGCCGCGGUAAUACGUAGGGUGCGAGCGUUAAUCGGAAUUACUGGGCGUAAAGGGCGCGUAGGCGGUUUUUUAAGUCAGAUGUGCAAUCCCCGAGCUCAACUUGGGAACUGCAUCUGAGACUGGAAGGCUAGAGUACUGGAGAGGGUGGUGGAAUUCCUCGUGUAGCGGUGAAAUGCGUAGAUAUGCGGAGGAACACCGAUGGCGAAGGCAAUCCCCUGGGCCUGUACUGACGCUCAUGCACGAAAGCGUGGGGAGCAAACAGG
This 429-nucleotide ribosomal RNA is filed under the name uncultured bacterium. RNAcentral's name for it is "bacterial SSU rRNA". It matches the Rfam family "Bacterial small subunit ribosomal RNA", at positions 355 to 776 of the family's 1533-position model. The record is from RNAcentral.